GCGAAUAAGUAGAAGCGCCCGCUUCUCACCUUUCACCGAAGGUGCAAAGGUUUCUUCAAAAGUAUUUAUCUUUGUUUUAUUGUAAAGAAGCGGGUAUUUCUAUAUCCGCUUUUAUUUUUUCAU
Molecule: regulatory RNA element, 123 nt
Organism: Thermoanaerobacter pseudethanolicus ATCC 33223
Lineage: Bacteria; Bacillati; Bacillota; Clostridia; Thermoanaerobacterales; Thermoanaerobacteraceae
Rfam family: Ribosomal protein L20 leader
About the family: This family is a putative r-protein leader autoregulatory structure found in B. subtilis and other low-GC Gram-positive bacteria. It is located in the 5' untranslated regions of mRNAs encoding initiation factor 3 followed by ribosomal proteins L35 and L20 (infC-rpmI-rplT). A Rho-independent transcription terminator structure that is probably involved in regulation is included at the 3' end.
Source: Rfam